ACAGUUGGAUCCUGCCUCGCAUGGGAAGCUGUUGGCGGGCUAUUCCAUGCCAGUAUAGCGGAAACUACCUACUUGAUGCAUCCGAGAUGGAUACUCGCGUCCAGAGUAGGACGGGUGAGUUGGGCUUCGGACAUUGCCCUGAUGUGGGGGAUCACCGUUGGCGCCAAUGGCUAACGCCGGAUGACGCCUACGGACCGGACAGGGGGACCUGCCGGCCUCCCCCCCUUCGACCGGCCUAUGUGGGAUUAGCUCCCUGGAGAUGCCAAGGUUCCUCGCUGGGACAAUCCGUAAAUGGUCGGACACGAUGAUCGACUUAACUGGAACUGACACACCGCCAACAGACCACCGGCAUGCAGCACCGGGCAAUAAUGUCCCAAGGGCGCCAGCCCGAUGCUGGCAUGCCCUCUGGAUGACAAAAGCCUUCAAGGUGCUUCGCACUUUCUCCAAUUAAGAAGGUUGCUCCACCACUUGCGCAUGGCCCCGACAAUUCCUUCGAAAUAUACUCCUGCUACCUCCCUGCCCACGCCCGCUACUUUACGGAUGGUGUCAGAGUGCCUCGGAUCUACGGCACAACCUCCGCAUGCACGUGGUUUGUUGAGUGAAAUGUGAAAGCAUGUAAUCCUGCCUGCUAAUAACAUUUGAACCUGGGAGAGUAG
RNAcentral lists this ribosomal RNA (656 nucleotides) under uncultured bacterium. RNAcentral describes it as "partial 16S ribosomal RNA". The record is from RNAcentral.